GCCACAACAAUUGAGGGGCGGACUUUGCUUACAACUCAAAACCAACCUUAAGCUCUUGGUAAAACAGGGAGGUCAACAUGGGGGCUUUGUGAGUAUAGGAUUCAAUCUAUGGAGUAUAAAUUUUAUGGGGACAUUGGAGAGAGUGGAGAAGAAGAACUUUGGCUUCCUGGCCGUGUGUUCCUGCAUAAAUUGCCCGAAUCUGCCCCUGAUGUGCAGUAUUACUCUCUGAAAGAGUAUCCACAAUGUGAUGAUGCUUCUCGUUGCCAAGUUAAAGCAUCCUGGGCUUUGCCGGUGUUCGAACAUUCCAGCCAAAUCUGUGUUGGUGUACUUGAGCUAGUCUCUACCAUCGAUGCCAUUAAAGGUUGGUAUGACAAAUCUUUCCUUCGCAACCUGCAUGAUGUUUUUCAGGAGCUAGGUCUGCAAUCUAUUGACUGCUGCAAACACUAUCAAAUGAAAGUAAGUAGCAACUUAUAAUGGAAUGUGUAAUCUACUAUUUUAAUUUCUUAUGUCCAGAUUGUAAGGAACAAGUUCUCACAUGUACUUUUUACACGGUAAUAAUUGCAAAUCAGUAUAAGGAUGAGGAUAAAGAUGUUACAUCUGCCUUUGAUGAACUCGCGUUGGUACUGGAAUCGUUGUAUAAAGUACAUAAGUUACCUUUGGCUUUGGCUUGGGUCCCGUGCAGUGCUUGCGACGCUUUGUUGCUAGGCCAACUCUCAUCCAAGGGUGCAGAAUAUCUUGGGGCUUUCGAGGCCAACUAUAACCACCUCAUUGAUUUCUUGGUGGCCAGUACUGGAUGUCACCUUCGAAAUGGGCAGGUUGUUGAGAGGGUACUUUCAUCUCCUAACAUGUUAUACUGCUUGGACAUAACACAAUUCAGCAUAGCAGAGUACCCUUUGGCACCAUUUGCACGACAGUGCAAAUUAAGUGGUUGGUUCACCAUAUGCUUGCAUAGCAGUUACACCGGGGACGAUGUAUCUUUUUGCCUGUGAGCAGCAAAGACAAUGAGAACACACUGACCACAGUGCGCACAAUAUUGGGUACCAUGAAGUCAAAUUCCAAAACUUUAAACUUGCUUCUGGAAAAGAACUGGGGGAAGUAUUAUCCAUUGAAGUUCUUUAUUUUCAGAAUGCUUGGUCAUCUUGAUCAGCCAUUGUUAGAUGCGAUAAAUGAUGGAAGGGAUGAUAUUAGGACAAAAGAGGGUGGACCUGUUGCUACUAGUUCAAAAGGCGGCACAACAAAGAUACAAGAAGGGAAACAAAAAAAAUCUGGAGUUAGAUUUGACAUUUCUUUAGACGACGUCCUACGGUUUUCAGCAUUGAGCCGUACCAAUGCUGCAAGGGAACUCAAAGUCAGCGUAUCAACAUUGAAGCGUGUUUGUAGGAAAUGGGGUAUCCAACGGUGGCCUCCUCACGACACAAACAAGGAGGCAUAUGCCAUAGCGUUACCAAAUGUUGAAGAUAUUGUGCACCUUGAUUCACCCGAAGAACCGUCAUUGAUGGAAUUUGAUGAUGCAAUAAAUGGAGCACAGGAUCUCAGGGAAGAUGAUAGCCGGCCAUUUAUUACUCAUUUGGAGAAAGAAAGUCUACCUACUUUUAAGGAUCUCCAACAACAUUUUGACUGUAAAAGUGGAGAUGCUGCAAAGAGUCAUGGUGUUAGUGCAGAACGAAACAACUUGGAUGUAACUUGUUCAAAAGGAGCCACCAUCAAAACUCAAGAAAGGGGACUGGGAAAAGCUGGAGUUAGAAUUGAAAUUCCUCUAGAGGAUAUCCUUCAAUAUUCUAAUAAGAGACUUGAUUUUGCUUCAAGCGAACUCAAAGUUAGUGUAUCUACUUUGAAGCGAAUAUGUAGGAAUUACGGCAUCGAGAGGUGGCCACCUCGCAACAUAAAAAGGGUCUGUCACUUUCAGCCCUCGCCUGUUGAGAACCAGGGACAAACCCCACCGCCUUCAAAUCUAACCUCACCUAGUGUUGCUCACAAAACGCAAGCAUUCCAAGAUGAGGAUAUGGUGACGACUAAGGCGAAAUAUGAAAAUAAUACGUUUAAGUUCCAGCUGUCUUUGUCGUCUAGACUAUUAGAGUUGCAGCAAGAAUUGGCUAAAAGGCUCAACCUGGACGCUGGUACUUACUAUGUCAAGUAUAAAGAUGAGGAGGAUGAUUUGAUUGCAAUAGCUUGCGAUGAGGACUUGCAAUCUUGUUUACACAUUUCUAGAUCUUUAGGCAACACUUCGACGGUGGUACUGCUUGAGCUAAAGGAUGCAUGAGCAAUCUACCAAUAUCUAUGUCUCUGUUCAGAAUGCCGGCUGUCGUUUCCAGGGAAAUAGAGAGGAUUCAAAGCAUAUUUUUAUGGGGAGGUUCUGACAAGCAAAGAGGAUGCAUUUAGUGAGUUGGGAAAAAGUGUCUAUGAGCAUGGAAAAAGGAGGUCUUGGUAUCGGAAAUUGUCUGAGAUGAAUGACUCCUUGCUAAUUAAGUGGUGGUGGAGAUUCCCCUCUGAGAAAGAUGCUUUGAGGAGAAGUUGUUUGUGAAAGUAGUAGAGGUUCAAUGAUUUGGAAGGAUGUCUCUCAAAUGCAGGUCAGGGGUCCAGUCAUCUACAAUAAGUUCGUAUCAAAUGCCUUCAUCAGGGUUGGAAACGGCAGAGGGAUAGCAUUCUGGAACGACGUGUGGUUUGAGGGUGUGGCUUUAAGAAGCAGAUUUCCAAGGUUAUUCAAUGCGGUUGUUGAUAAAGAGGAGAAGCUAUUUUCUGUAAUUCAAAGAAGAAGGUCUCAGGGCUUUUGUUCUUUUCAGUUCAGAAGAAAUCUAUUUGACUGGGAGGUGGAGGAUUUACAUAACCUUCAUGUGCUUCUACUUGUUGUCCUGGAUGGUGAGGUAGAUAGAAUUGAUAGUGUUGUGGAGGGCCUCUGCUAGUGGCCAGUUCUCUAUCAAGUCUAUGAAUAAUUUGGUGGAGGAGAAUUGGGAGGGACUCAAUUUGCCUGCGUAGAAAAGUUGGUGCAAUCUUGCUCCGCCUAGGAUUCAAUGUUUUUGUUGGUGGGCAUGUCAAGGAAGGAUAAAAUCCAAAGCACUAUUUUUGAGAAGAGGUUUGAUUGGAUGCUCUUUGUCUAUUUUGUGGACUGCAUGUGGAAUUUGCAGAUCACCUGCUUGUGCAAUGCUCUCUUCCGUGGGAAUUGUGGUCUAAAUGUAUGAAGUGGUGGGGUCUGGCUUGAGAUUCUCCUGAAUCAGUUGCGGGCUUAAUGGAGUGGUGUGGUUGCAGUUUCAAGAAGAAGUGCAAAACCAUCCAUAGGAUGUGGGAGGUCACUCCCUCUGCAGUAUUGUGGUCCAUAUGGAGAGCCAGGACUGCUUUGGCGUUUGAGAAUUGUGUGCCCAAUUGGGAGGUUUGGGACUCAAUUAAGCUUAAGGUGGCCAAAUGGAUUGCAUCAAAUGUUGGUGCUUUUUCUUAUUCUAUCAAUGACAUCUUACACAAUUUGGGGAGUAUUUCUGAGGGCUCUCUGAGGAGGCUCCUGUAGUUUGGGGGUUAGUCUCUAAUUGCUGCUGUUGGUCCCAUCAUGCAUCUAUUUCUGCUGCUGCCUUUGCAUUUUGGUUCACAUUCCCUUUGGUUGAUUCUGCUUCUGCACUCUUGGGAGGAUCCAGGACUGUUUGAGCCUUCUACAUCUGAUGCUUCUGUGUCUUUGCCCUCAUUAUAUAUAUAAUGUUUAUAUUUUGCUUCUUGUCAAUGCUUUUGGGGAUGUUUCGAUCAGUUUUGCUGCUGCUACUCUCAAGUAAGUUUGCCCUGACGUUGUGAUGCUUCAGUGUUCCAUUUUCAAUUGGCUCAAGAUUGAGUGCUAUGUUUUUGCUGCCAUUAUGGUGAUUUCAGGGUCCUAUCUUGCUAGGCUAUAUUGAUGCUACUGUGGUGGUUUUACUUUCCCUUGGUUCUCAGUUUGGGGUAUCUCCUUGAUCUGUUUUUCGUCCCAUGGUUGGCACCUUGCCAACCCUUUGUUUUUCGCCUUUUCUGUGCUUAAAGGGAUUUUGCAGUGCUUAUUGGAUUCCUGAAGUUGGAAUAUUACUAUGUGAAAAGCAAAGCAUCAAAUGAUCUACGUUCGAUUGUUGACGCAAAUGUUGAUGGAGCGGGGAUAUAAUCAAAGAUGCGAAGGCAGCUGCUAUGUGUCACCGCACCAAUUCGCCAACAAUGUUGGAAAUGGCCGCGUUUUUUCCCCCCUUUUGCAGUCCCUGUUCGAGAUUACCUGUUCAGUAGCUUAACAACCUGGGGUGUUUCUGGACAUUCAAAAGUGAAUUCUGUUAUCAGUGAUGGAAUGAUACCACACACUGAUACCGCACAAGAAUGUAAGAGAAUUUUGCACAUAAGAAUGUGAAAAACUUUGCACUGUAAUGCACGGAAAGAAAUGCUCACUUAUAAUAAGAGCAUAACUGCCAUGAUUCGUGUAUAUCAGGACUCUCAAUGAAGUUUGGGUAGUUUUUGCGUUACGGCCGUAUUCAGUUUUCUUACAAGUUACCCUAAGGUUGGAAUGUGCCAUGUGAACCAAGUGGGAGAAUGU
This is an RNA transcript of Rhododendron vialii, 4522 nucleotides long. It is a transcript of the gene named protein NLP3-like, with no coding region annotated. NCBI's taxonomy places the organism in Eukaryota, Viridiplantae, Streptophyta, Magnoliopsida, Ericales, Ericaceae. The transcript is spliced from 8 exons. The record is from RefSeq and is a predicted model, not a curated record.